AUGAUUGUAUGGGGAGAGCACGCAAUGGCGUCGCCGAAGGAGCAAGUAACUUAUUGUUAUGAAUCUCUCAGGUAACAAGACUCAUACAUGACG
RNAcentral lists this non-coding RNA (93 nucleotides) under Sporosarcina psychrophila. Its description in RNAcentral is "Glycine sequence". It matches the Rfam family "Glycine riboswitch aptamer". From Rfam's summary of the family: This family represents the bacterial glycine riboswitch. Glycine riboswitches usually consist of two metabolite-binding aptamers domains with similar structures in tandem. The record is from RNAcentral. Lineage: Bacteria; Bacillati; Bacillota; Bacilli; Caryophanales; Caryophanaceae.